CUGGGCACUGUGUGGACACACUUGGUACGACAUGUCUCUGUUUUCAAAAGAAUCAUCCCUACUGAAUGACGCCACGUGGAUAACUACAGCUGUUUUCUUAGCUGUUCCAAUUGUCAAUGACUUGUAAGUGAAAAAGCUUCCCGCUUUGCCCACAACAUCUUGAUUUUAGCGGGGCCCAUCUCUGUAACAAAGAAAUGGGUACUACUCGCACAUACAUGGGAAAUGGAACUCACGCGCUGACUGUAGUUGACACGUCAUUCGGAUUAGGUGAGAAUGUGUGGAGUUGGGACAGAGUGAGGUUCACGGCGGCAGGGGGAAUGGUGAUAUUAAUAAUAAAAAGAAAAUGGAUCACUUUGUCUAUUUUUGUAUGAUCAAUUUAGUUACUUUGC
RNAcentral lists this long non-coding RNA (389 nucleotides) under Gossypium barbadense (sea-island cotton). Its description in RNAcentral is "long non-coding RNA (GBAR_LNC014536)". Lineage: Eukaryota; Viridiplantae; Streptophyta; Magnoliopsida; Malvales; Malvaceae. The record is from RNAcentral.